AGAGUUUGAUCAUGGCUCAGAUUGAACGCUGGCGGCAGGCCUAACACAUGCAAGUCGAGCGGUAGAGAGAAGCUUGCUUCUCUUGAGAGCGGCGGACGGGUGAGUAAUGCCUAGGAAUCUGCCUGGUAGUGGGGGAUAACGUCCGGAAACGGACGCUAAUACCGCAUACGUCCUACGGGAGAAAGCAGGGGACCUUCGGGCCUUGCGCUAUCAGAUGAGCCUAGGUCGGAUUAGCUGGUUGGUGGGGUAAUGGCUCACCAAGGCGACGAUCCGUAACUGGUCUGAGAGGAUGAUCAGUCACACUGGAACUGAGACACGGUCCAGGCUCCUACGGGAGGCAGCAGUGGGGAAUAUUGGACAAUGGGCGAAAGCCUGAUCCAGCCAUGCCGCGUGUGUGAAGAAGGUCUUCGGAUUGUAAAGCACUUUAAGUUGGGAGGAAGGGCAGUGGAUUAAUACUUUGCUGUUUUGACGUUUCCGACCGAAUAAGCACCGGCUAACUCUGUGCCAGCAGCCGCGGUAAUACAGAGGGUGCAAGCGUUAAUCGGAAUUACUGGGCGUAAAGCGCGCGUAGGGGGUUCGUUAAGUUGGAUGUGAAAUCCCCGGGCUCAACCUAGGAACUGCAUUCAAAACUGACGAGCUAGACUAUGGGAGAGGGUGGUGGAAUUUCCUGUGUAGCGGUGAAAUGCGUAGAUAUAGGAAGGAACACCAGUGGCGAAGGCGACCACCUGGACUGAUACUGACACUGAGGUGCGAAAGCGUGGGGAGCAAACAGGAUUAGAUACCCUGGUAGUCC
Molecule: ribosomal RNA, 793 nt
Filed under: uncultured bacterium
Lineage: Bacteria
Description: bacterial SSU rRNA
Rfam family: Bacterial small subunit ribosomal RNA
Source: RNAcentral